UUAAUUGAAACCAAAAAGAGGUAUUUCACUGUUAAUGAUUUCAAUGAGUUUUAACUCCGAUUAAA
RNAcentral lists this transfer RNA (65 nucleotides) under Anthobium melanocephalum. RNAcentral's name for it is "tRNA-Asn". Lineage: Eukaryota; Metazoa; Arthropoda; Insecta; Coleoptera; Staphylinidae. The record is from RNAcentral.